ACAGAGGUCCCGAGCGUUGUUCGGAUUCACUGGGCGUAAAGGGUGCGUAGGUGGUUGGGCAAGUCUGAUGUGAAAUCUCCGGGCUUAACCCGGAAAUGGCAUUGGAAACUGCUUGGCUAGAGUGUUGGAGGGGGGACUGGAAUUCUCGGUGUAGCAGUGAAAUGCGUAGAUAUCGAGAGGAACACCAGUGGCGAAGGCGAGUCCCUGGACAACGACUGACACUGAGGCACGAAAGCUAGGGGAGCAAACAGGA
This 253-nucleotide ribosomal RNA is filed under the name uncultured prokaryote. RNAcentral describes it as "partial 16S ribosomal RNA". It matches the Rfam family "Bacterial small subunit ribosomal RNA", at positions 525 to 777 of the family's 1533-position model. The record is from RNAcentral.